RNAcentral lists this ribosomal RNA (253 nucleotides) under uncultured bacterium. RNAcentral's name for it is "partial 16S ribosomal RNA". It matches the Rfam family "Bacterial small subunit ribosomal RNA", at positions 524 to 776 of the family's 1533-position model. The record is from RNAcentral.
UACGAAGGGGGCUAGCGUUGCUCGGAAUUACUGGGCGUAAAGGGCGCGUAGGCGGUUAUAUAAGUUAGGUGUGAAAUCCCUGGGCUUAACCUAGGAAUGGCAGCUAAGACUGUAUAACUGGAGUGCAGUAGAGGGUAGUGGAAUUUCCGGUGUAGCGGUGAAAUGCGUAGAUAUCGGAAGGAACACCAGUGGCGAAGGCGGCUACCUGGACUGACACUGACGCUGAGGCGCGAGAGCGUGGGUAGCAAACAGG